UACAGAGGUCUCAAGCGUUGUUCGGAUUCAUUGGGCGUAAAGGGUGCGUAGGCGGCGCCGUAAGUCGGGUGUGAAAUUUCGGAGCUUAACUCCGAAACUGCAUUCGAUACUGCGGUGCUUGAGGACUGGAGAGGAGACUGGAAUUCAUGGUGUAGCAGUGAAAUGCGUAGAGAUCAUGAGGAAGACCAGUGGCGAAGGCGGGUCUCUGGACAGUUCCUGACACUGAGACACGAAGGCCAGGGGAGCAAACGGG
This 253-nucleotide ribosomal RNA is filed under the name uncultured bacterium. RNAcentral describes it as "partial 16S ribosomal RNA". It matches the Rfam family "Bacterial small subunit ribosomal RNA", at positions 524 to 776 of the family's 1533-position model. The record is from RNAcentral.